UGAUGUCCCUGUAGGGUAGAAAACUUCUCUGUCGAAUCCGCUGAUUUGAUUGCUUGGUCUUCUGGUUUCAGACCCUCUGUUCUCCUUCUGGGGUGCCUGGACCCUGAUUGUGACAUCUCUCUGGCCCAGCCUCUUACACAGAUGUGUGCUGCAGCCAGCCCAGCGCAGGGAGCAGUGGGGACAGAUGAUCUCCUCCUGUCAGACCAAGCAACAUGGGUCCCAUUGAGGCUUAGAUGGAAGAUCCCAGGCAUCUCCUGGAGAGGAUGCAUCUGGUAUCCUGGAGACUGUUUGUUUCGUGCAGGAGGUUUGAGCGGGGAGAGAUCACUCACUGUCAUGACCCAUGGGUCAUUAACCCAGGUCUGCAGGGUUCCUGGGAGCAGCCACCCUCCAGCACGCCACCUGGAAGCCU
Chelonia mydas (Green sea turtle) is the source of this 409-nucleotide long non-coding RNA. RefSeq lists it as uncharacterized. Lineage: Eukaryota; Metazoa; Chordata; Testudines; Cheloniidae. The record is from RefSeq and is a predicted model, not a curated record. The transcript is spliced from 2 exons.